RNAcentral lists this ribosomal RNA (790 nucleotides) under uncultured archaeon. RNAcentral describes it as "bacterial SSU rRNA". It matches the Rfam family "Archaeal small subunit ribosomal RNA", at positions 83 to 879 of the family's 1478-position model. The record is from RNAcentral.
ACGGCUUCAGUUACACGUGGUUAACCUGCCCUAAGGUGGAGAAUACUCCCGGGGAACUGGGGCUAAUGCUCCAUAGUGGAUGUAUCCUGGAAUGGUGCAUCCUCGAAAGAUCCGUCGCCUUAGGAUGGGACUGCGUCCGAUUAGGUUGUUGGCGGGGUAACGGCCCACCAAGCCAUUGAUCGGUACGGGUUGUGGGAGCAAGAUCUCGGAGAUGGAUUCUGAGACAUGAAUCCAGGCCCUAUGGGGCGCAGCAGGCGCGCAAACUUUACAAUGCGAGCAAUCGUGAUAAGGAAACCCUGAGUGCCUGUCGAUGUAGGUUGUUCAUAUAUCUAAAUCAUAUGUGAAGAAAGGGCAGGGCAAGACCGGUGCCAGCCGCCGCGGUAAUACCGGCUGCUCGAGUGAUGGCCACUAUUACUGGGUUUAAAGCGUCCGUAGCUUGACUAUUAGGUCUCUUGGGAAAUCUUCACGUUUAACGUGAAGGCGUCUAAGAGAUACCGGUAGUCUUGGAACUGGGAGAGGUAAACCGUACUUCGGGGGUAGGAGUGAAAUCUUGUAAUCCUCGAGGGACGACCUAUGGCGAAGGCAGUUUACCAGAACAGCUUCGACAGUGAGGGACGAAAGCUGGGGGAGUAAACGGGAUUAGAUAUCCCGGUAGUCCCAGCCGUAAACAAUGUGCGUUAGGUGUGUCGGUAACCAUGUGUUACUGAUGCGCCGAAGAGAAAUCGUGAAACGCACCACCUGGGAAGUACGGUCGUAAGGCUGAAACUUAAAGGAAUUGGCGGGGGAGCAC